GCCACGGUGGUCUAGCGGUCAGAACGCUGGCCUUGUAAUCCUGGGGUCUCGGGUUCGAUUCCCGGCGGUGCCC
Zootermopsis nevadensis is the source of this 73-nucleotide non-coding RNA. NCBI's taxonomy places the organism in Eukaryota, Metazoa, Arthropoda, Insecta, Blattodea, Termopsidae. The record is from Rfam.